UAACGCGAAGAACCUUACCAAGGCUUGACAUACACGAGAACGGGCAGAAAUGGUCAACUCUUUGGACACUCGUGAACAGGUGGUGCAUGGUUGUCGUCAGCUCGUGUCGUGAGAUGUUGGGUUAAGUCCCGCAACGAGCGCAACCCUCGUUUUAUGUUGCCAGCGCGUAAUGGCGGGAACUCAUAGGAGACUGCCGGGGUCAACUCGGAGGAAGGUGGGGAUGACGUCAAAUCAUCAUGCCCCUUAUGACCUGGGCUACACACGUGCUACAAUGGGUGGUACAACGAGCAGCGAGACCGCGAGGUCAAGCGAAUCUCUAAAAACCAUCCUCAGUUCGGAUUGCAGGCUGCAACUCGCCUGCAUGAAGCUGGAAUCGCUAGUAAUCGCGGAUCAGC
This 395-nucleotide ribosomal RNA is filed under the name uncultured bacterium. RNAcentral's name for it is "bacterial SSU rRNA". It matches the Rfam family "Bacterial small subunit ribosomal RNA", at positions 957 to 1353 of the family's 1533-position model. The record is from RNAcentral.